GUAAUUCUAGUGCAUAUAAGUUGCAUCUACAUUUUAGCUAUUGGAAACAUUAUAGCUUGGUUGAAAUUAGUCAGUAGUCUGGUAUCUUGUCAGGCAUUCUAUUCUCCUUGGUUUUUAGUUAAGUAGUUUAUGAUGUUUUCCAUAUCUAUGUCUUUAAAUUGCAUUAAAUCAAUAUUUUGUAAAUAAUCAAAUUCAUAGUAUGGAACAUCAUAAUAUUUGCAAAUAUUUU
This 229-nucleotide long non-coding RNA is filed under the name Gossypium barbadense (sea-island cotton). RNAcentral's name for it is "long non-coding RNA (GBAR_LNC010258)". The record is from RNAcentral. Lineage: Eukaryota; Viridiplantae; Streptophyta; Magnoliopsida; Malvales; Malvaceae.